CCUCAACUCAGCAGGACUACGCUGUGAACUAAAGCAUUUCAGUAACAGCAGAAAAGAAAAUAACAAUGAUUCCCCCAGUAACUGCGAGUGAAGUGGGAAGAGUCCAACGUUGAAAGCUGCGUCCUUAGCUGGGCGUCGCAUUGUAACGUUUGGAGCUGUAUUUGAGUGGUUGUCUGGUGUUCAAGUCGCAUAGAAUAGCGCGCCAGAGAGGGUGAUAGCCCCGUAGCCGACACUAGUAACACGGCCACCAACACUACAGCUCUAAGAGUCGGACUGUUUGGGAAUGCAGUCUAAAGCAGGUGGUAAACUUCAUCUAAGACUAAAUAUUGCUCCGAGACCGAUAGCGCACAAGUACCGUGAGGGAAAGUUGAAAAGCACUCUGAAAAGAAAGUGAAAAGUACGUGAAACCGUCAAUGGGGAAGCGGACGGUGAAAUCGAAACAGCCGUCAAGAGUCGCGCCCUAACAGAGUGCGAUGGAAUUGACGGCUGUGUGCCGGUCUCAUUGCUGGCCGCGUAGUCUGCGGUGCCAGUUUGAUUUCAGCGGUAUUUUCGAAAGAUGGUUGCGGGGUCAAGUGGCACUGCGAGACUGAAAUCGUGGCCGGUAAUGUUGAUGUACUCGCAGCGCGACUGUGGAGCGGUGCAGCGUGCGAGUGUAAAUGCACUUGAGCGGUGGGUCGCUACACAGUCAGGUGCGAAAUGAUGAUUGUACAUGGUGCCCGGCGAGAUAUGUCAUUGUCCGACCCGUCUUGAAACACGGACCAAGGAGGCUAACGUAUGCGCGAGUUAAAGAGUGACAAACUCGGUGAACUAAACGAAAGUGAAAUGUGAGAUCCGCCGGCCUCGUGCCGGUGGCGCAUCACGCACCUGUUGGAAAGUUGACUACAAUAGAGUGAGAGCGUAUGCGAUAGGACCCGAAAGAUGGUGAACUAUGCCUGAGUAGAGCGAAUUCAUUGGAAACAAUGAUGGAGGCUCGUAGCGGUUCUGACGUGCAAAUCGAUCGUCAAACUUGGGUAUAGGGGCGAAAGACUAAUCGAACCAUCUAGUAGCUGGUUCCCUCCGAAAUAUCCCUCAGGAUCGCCGGAACUCGUGAAACAGUUUCAUCGGGUAGAGCUAAUGUUUAGAGGUAUUGGGAUCAUUAAUGGUCUCAACCUAUUCACAAACUGCGAACCGGUGAUGUACCGCAAAGCACAGUACAGUUACUUGACUGAACCGGCGCUGUGAUUUGAAUGUUGAGUUCCGAGUGGGCCGUUUUUGGUAAGCAGAACUGGCGACGCGGGAUGAACCGAGUGCCGGGUUAAGGUGCCCAAGUGUAGGCAAACGGACACCAUAAAAGGAGUUGGUAGAUGAUAACAGUAGGACCGUGGCCCUGAAAGUAGGCAUCGGCUAAGAAGUGUGCAACAACAUACCUACCGAAUCUACUGGCCCUGAAAAUGGAUGGCGCUAUAGCCUACCACCGAUACCCGGCCGUGAGUGUGAGCGAAGCAUUCACGGGUAGGAGGGUGCUACGGUUGCUGCGAAGGUUGCAUGUGAAUGCGACUGGAGCGGCCGUAGGUACAGAUCUUGGUUUUAGUAGCAGCGUAUAGAAGUGAGAACCUUCUAGGCCGAAGUGGAGAAGGGUUCCUCGUGAACAGCAGUUGGACGAGGGUUAGUCGGUCCUAAGCAGCAGCUCACACGCUGAGUAAAAGGGGACGUUUCGCGUUAGUGCCUUUUGGUGCAGCGCCUCGUCUCAGUCUGCGAAAGGGAAUCAGGUUAAUAUUCCUGAACCAGGCUUCGGAUAACUUGCCUGAUCAAGGGCCAGCGGGUGCGUGUCCUCGGGCAACCGGGGGUGUGCGCGAGCUGGCCGGCGAUUUGCAAGUGGAGCGGUAACGCAAGCAAACUCGGAGACGUGCUUGACAAUCCCGGGAAGAGAUUUCUUUUCUGUUUAACCAGACGGGCAUGAGCCUGGAAUAGAGUCAUUCAGAGAUAGGCUUGACGUUUGGGAAGAGCGUAGCAUUUGGUUACGUCCGGUGUAUUGUGAAUCAUCCUUGAAAAUCCGAGGGCGUGAAUGAUUGUCGAGCCUGACCGUACCGAGAACCGCAUCAGGUCUCCAAGGUGAAUAGCCUCUGGCUUUAGAAUAAUGUGGGUAAGGGAAGUCGGCAAAAUAGAUUCGUAACUUUGGGAUAAGGAUUGGCUCUAAGGAUUGAGCUACUUGGACCAGUCAUGAGUGAUUGUGCUUGUUCACAGACGAGUCGUCGGUCGGCGGCUCGGAAACGGGUCGUCGGCUGUUAUGCUUGUUAGUGGACACUGUAACUACUGGUGGCUGGUUUGUGCUGCCGUCGCCGGGUGAUACUUUUGCCAGGCGGAGGGUGGUGCCUCGCGAGUAGCUAAGAUCAAUCAACUUAGAACUGUCACUAACUAGGGGAAUCCGACUGUUUAAUUAAAACAAAGCAUUGCGAUGGCUGGAAACGGUGUUGACGCAAUGUGAAUUCUGCCCAGUGCUCUGAAUGUCAAAGUGUGGAGACACAACCAAGCGCGGGUAAACGGCGGGAGUAACUAUGACUCUCUUAAGAUAGCCAAAUGCCUCGUCAUCUAAUUAGUGACGCGCAUGAAUGGAUCAACGAGAUUCCCACUGUCCCUACCUACCAUCUAGCGAACAAACAGUCAAGGGAACGGGCUUGACUGAGACAGCGGGGAAAGAAGACCCUGUUGAGCUUGACUCUAGUUUGAUAUGGUGAGGAGACAUGAGAGGUGUAGAAUAGGUGGGAGACGUGAUUGGGGGCAACCCCAGUGGCGCCGCCGGUGAAAUACCACCACUUUCAUUGUUUCUUCACUAAAUCGGUGAUGAGGGGAGUGCCCGGUUUUUGACGUAGUCGUGUACUGUUUUACAGCUGAUCGUUGCCCGUAUGCGGGUCGGGGUGGCAAUCCUAGACCGGUGCGGGUUUGCGUUCAGUAAUAAAGAGUUGGCUAUUGUCGGGCCGGUGUCGCCUGUUGUUAGAAUUAAGAUGGUCUGCAGUGUUGCUCGGGCGUCCGUGCCAUCACGGUGCGCUCGAGUGGUGCUGUUGGCUCGUCCAGAGUGUGUCCAUCGACCUGCUUUCACGAUGGUCGGUAGCAAUGCCGGCCAGUUGUGAUGUGACGACCGAUGACAGUAUCAAAUGGGGAGUUUGACUGGGGCGGUACAUUCUUUAAAAUGCAACGAGAGUGUCCUAAGGUGGGCUCAUCGUGGACAGAAACCACGAGUAGAGCAUAAGGGCAAAAGCCUGCUUGAUUUUGAUUUUCAGUACUAAUACAAACCACGAAAGUGUGGCCUAACGAUCCUUUACGUUGGCCUGAAAGUUUCAGGGUAGAGGUGUCAGAAAAGUUACCACAGGGAUAACUGGCUUGUGGCGGCCAAGCGAACAUAGCGACGUCGCUUUUUGAUCCUUCGAUGUCGGCUCUUCCUAUCAUUGGGCAGCAGUAUACCCAAAGUGUCAGAUGUCC
RNAcentral lists this ribosomal RNA (3456 nucleotides) under Myxobolus sp. 'branchicola'. RNAcentral describes it as "eukaryotic LSU rRNA". It matches the Rfam family "Eukaryotic large subunit ribosomal RNA", at positions 1 to 2934 of the family's 3401-position model. Lineage: Eukaryota; Metazoa; Cnidaria; Myxozoa; Bivalvulida; Myxobolidae. The record is from RNAcentral.